AUACGUAGGGUGCAAGCGUUAAUCGGAAUUACUGGGCGUAAAGCGUGCGCAGGCGGUUUUGUAAGACAGGCGUGAAAUCCCCGGGCUCAACCUGGGAAUGGCGCUUGUGACUGCAAAGCUGGAGUGCGGCAGAGGGGGAUGGAAUUCCGCGUGUAGCAGUGAAAUGCGUAGAUAUGCGGAGGAACACCGAUGGCGAAGGCAAUCCCCUGGGCCUGCACUGACGCUCAUGCACGAAAGCGUGGGGAGCAAACAGGAUUAGAUACCCUGGUAGUCCACGCCCUAAACGAUGUCAACUGGUUGUUGGGUCUCUUCUGACUCAGUAACGAAGCUAACGCGUGAAGUUGACCGCCUGGGGAGUACGGCCGCAAGGUUGAA
This 375-nucleotide ribosomal RNA is filed under the name uncultured bacterium. RNAcentral's name for it is "bacterial SSU rRNA". It matches the Rfam family "Bacterial small subunit ribosomal RNA", at positions 523 to 898 of the family's 1533-position model. The record is from RNAcentral.